This 253-nucleotide ribosomal RNA is filed under the name uncultured bacterium. RNAcentral's name for it is "partial 16S ribosomal RNA". It matches the Rfam family "Bacterial small subunit ribosomal RNA", at positions 524 to 776 of the family's 1533-position model. The record is from RNAcentral.
UACGGAGGGUGCAAGCGUUAAUCGGAAUUACUGGGCGUAAAGCGCACGCAGGUGGCUGAGUCAGUCGAUUGUGAAAGCCCCGGGCUCAACCUGGGAAUUGCAUUCGAGACUGCAUUGCUGGAGUACGGAAGAGGAGGGCGGAAUUCCCGGUGUAGCGGUGAAAUGCGUAGAUAUCGGGAGGAACAUCAGUGGCGAAGGCGGCCCUCUGGUCCAGUACUGACACUCAAGUGCGAAAGCGUGGGGAGCAAACAGG